UACGGGGGGGGCAAGCGUUGUUCGGAAUUACUGGGCGUAAAGGGCUCGUAGGUGGCCAACUAAGUCAGACGUGAAAUCCCCAGGCUCAACUUGGGAACUGCGUCUGAUACUGGAUGGCUUGAAUUCGGGAGAGGGAUACAGAAUUCCUGGUGUAGCGGUGAAAUGCGCAGAUAUCAGGAGGAACACCGGUGGCGAAGGCGGGUCUCUGGGCCGAUACUGACGCUGAGGAGCGAAAGCGUGGGGAGCGAACAGG
This 253-nucleotide ribosomal RNA is filed under the name uncultured bacterium. RNAcentral's name for it is "partial 16S ribosomal RNA". It matches the Rfam family "Bacterial small subunit ribosomal RNA", at positions 524 to 776 of the family's 1533-position model. The record is from RNAcentral.